This 250-nucleotide ribosomal RNA is filed under the name uncultured bacterium. RNAcentral describes it as "partial 16S ribosomal RNA". It matches the Rfam family "Bacterial small subunit ribosomal RNA", at positions 355 to 597 of the family's 1533-position model. The record is from RNAcentral.
UAGGGAAUAUUGCGCAAUGGACGAAAGUCUGACGCAGCAACGCCGCGUGGGUGAUGAAGCAUCUUGGUGUGUAAAACCCUGUCAGAGGGGAAGAAACGCACAGGUAGUAACUGCCCUGUGCCUGACGGUACCCUCAGAGGAAGUCCCGGCUAACUCCGUGCCAGCAGCCGCGGUAAUACGGGGGGGACAAGCGUUGUUCGGAUUUACUGGGCGUAAAGGGCGCGUAGGCGGACCCUCAAGUCGGGUGUGA